GAGACAGCAGUAGCCGCGGGAAUACAGAGGGUGCGAGCGUUAAUCGGAUUUACUGGGCGUAAAGCGUGCGUAGGCGGCUUCUUAAGUCGGAUGUGAAAUCCCUGAGCUUAACUUAGGAAUUGCAUUCGAUACUGGGAAGCUAGAGUAUGGGAGAGGAUGGUAGAAUUCCAGGUGUAGCGGUGAAAUGCGUAGAGAUCUGGAGGAAUACCGAUGGCGAAGGCAGCCAUCUGGCCUAAUACUGACGCUGAGGUACGAAAGCAUGGGGAGCAAACAGGAUUAGAGACCCGUGUAGUCCCUGUCUCUUAUAC
RNAcentral lists this ribosomal RNA (308 nucleotides) under uncultured bacterium. Its description in RNAcentral is "partial 16S ribosomal RNA". It matches the Rfam family "Bacterial small subunit ribosomal RNA", at positions 505 to 807 of the family's 1533-position model. The record is from RNAcentral.